This 109-nucleotide ribosomal RNA is filed under the name Escherichia coli. Lineage: Bacteria; Pseudomonadati; Pseudomonadota; Gammaproteobacteria; Enterobacterales; Enterobacteriaceae. The record is from RNAcentral.
GCCGUAGCGCGGUGGUCCCACCUGACCCCAUGCCGAACUCAGAAGUGAAACGCCGUAGCGCCGAUGGUAGUGUGGGGUUUCCCCAUGCGAGAGUAGGGAACUGCCAGGC